Non-coding RNA from Caerostris darwini, 92 nucleotides. NCBI's taxonomy places the organism in Eukaryota, Metazoa, Arthropoda, Arachnida, Araneae, Araneidae. The record is from the annotation of a GenBank genome assembly.
AUGAAUAUAUCGGUUCUCGUUCGAUUACCGAAGUCAAGCAUCAUCAGGGACUGUCAGUACUUGGGAGGGUGACCACCUGGGAACACCAUGUA